RNAcentral lists this ribosomal RNA (253 nucleotides) under uncultured bacterium. RNAcentral's name for it is "partial 16S ribosomal RNA". It matches the Rfam family "Bacterial small subunit ribosomal RNA", at positions 524 to 776 of the family's 1533-position model. The record is from RNAcentral.
UACGUAGGUGGCGAGCGUUGUCCGGAUUUAUUGGGUUUAAAGGGUGCGUAGGCGGCUUUGAAAGUCAGUGGUGAAAUACUCCAGCUUAACUGGAGGGGUGCCAUUGAUACUGCGGAGCUUGAGUACAGAUGAGGUAGGCGGAAUUGACGGUGUAGCGGUGAAAUGCAUAGAUGUCGUCAAGAACACCGAUAGCGAAGGCAGCUUACUGGGCUGUAACUGACGCUGAUGCACGAAAGUGUGGGGAUCAAACAGG